Molecule: ribosomal RNA, 253 nt
Filed under: uncultured bacterium
Lineage: Bacteria
Description: partial 16S ribosomal RNA
Rfam family: Bacterial small subunit ribosomal RNA
Source: RNAcentral
UACGUAGGUGGCAAGCGUUGUCCGGAUUUACUGGGCGUAAAGCGCGCGCAGGCGGGCUGGUCAGUCCGGGGUGAAACCUCACGGCUCAACCGUGAGCGGUCCCCGGAUACUGCCAGUCUUGAGGUGUCUAGAGGAGAGCGGAAUUCCCGGUGUAGUGGUGGAAUGCGUAGAUAUCGGGAAGAACACCAGUGGCGAAAGCGGCUCUCUGGGGACCACCUGACGCUGAGGCGCGAAAGCGUGGGGAGCGAACCGG